AACCACGCAAGCUCUUCCAAGUGGACAGUUUCCUAGGAUCAGGGCCCUGGAUUCCAGACUAGGCUGACACAUUUUCUGAGCACCCAGAAAGGAUCUGAGAGCCAGAGCAGCCCAUAGCCAGCAGGGGGAAGAAACUUAACUAUGCUAAAGAAAAGGGAACGACUAAGGGAACUGGAGGCUACUGGGAGAGGGAGGAAACGGGAGUCUAUAUAAGGAGGAAGUGAGGCAACACCCAAGAAGACUGAGAGGCGGAAGGAGUAACAGGGGAAAAAACAGCUCCAGAAAGAGGCAGGAGGAAAAUCAAUCACAUUGGGGUAAAGGAGAGAACUGUGUACCAACUGAGACUGCCACCCUAGGAAACUUUGGACUUACCUGAGAGGUCAAAGAACACAUGGGAAAAUGGGACAAAAGAUUUCAGGUGUUGAUGAUGCUAAACUAAAUAUUGAUACACCCCUUUUAUAAGUACCCCUACAUUCUCUUGGGAGUCUUUUCUCCCCCCAGCUUUUCUGCGGUGGUCAGGUCAUCCUGCCCUCCCCCUCUUGUCCUGGACAAUGGCUUGGGGACAUUUGUAGUUGGGAGAUUUGGGGCUUAGCUGGAAGGCCAAGUCAACGUAGUGCUUGUCUGGUGAAUUCCCUGGAGCUGCUGAGGGUGAUAUUUGCAGCAACAUUCUGAAUGGAUGGACGUGGGGCAAGAUCACAUCUUACAAGGCAGGGAAAAGGAUGUUGCAGUAAUCAAGGUGUGAGAUGAUGAGAGUUUUAGCUGUGUGGCUGAACAGGAAAGACCAUAGUUCAGAGAUGUUGUGCAGAAGGAAACUGCAAGAUUUAGGUGUAAUCUGGAUGUGAGGACCUGGAGAGAGAGGGCCAAGUCAAAGAUGGUGUCUAGAUUACAGGCUGGAGUGACAAGCAAGAUGGUGGUGUGAUCA
This is a long non-coding RNA of Mauremys reevesii (Reeves's turtle), 922 nucleotides long. RefSeq lists it as uncharacterized. Lineage: Eukaryota; Metazoa; Chordata; Testudines; Geoemydidae. The transcript is spliced from 3 exons. The record is from RefSeq and is a predicted model, not a curated record.